UCCCAGCCCCACGAUUGGUCGGGACGGUUAUUGGGCCUAAAGCGCCCGUAGCCGGCCCAGCAAGUUCCUGCUAAAAUCACCGGGCUCAACCCGGUGUUUGGUGGGAAUACUGUUGGGCUAGGAGGCGGGAGAGGCCGGGGGUACUCCUAGGGUAGGGGCGAAAUCCUAUAAUCCUAGGAGGACCACCAGUGGCGAAGGCGCCCGGCUGGAACGCGCUCGACGGUGAGGGGCGAAAGCUGGGGGAGAAAACCGG
This 253-nucleotide ribosomal RNA is filed under the name uncultured archaeon. Its description in RNAcentral is "partial 16S ribosomal RNA". It matches the Rfam family "Archaeal small subunit ribosomal RNA", at positions 474 to 727 of the family's 1478-position model. The record is from RNAcentral.